CGGGGUGUAGCUCAGCUUGGUUAGAGUACUUGACUGGGGGUCAAGGGGCCGCGCGUUCAAAUCGCGCCACUCCGACCA
Molecule: transfer RNA, 78 nt
Filed under: Eubacteriales Family XIII. Incertae Sedis bacterium
Lineage: Bacteria; Bacillati; Bacillota; Clostridia; Peptostreptococcales; Anaerovoracaceae
Description: tRNA-Pro
Source: RNAcentral